UUUUCACGUCACGUCUUAUAUAGUGACCGUAACAGCCGUAUUCCAAAGUUGGGUGACCGUAUCGUGCUUCCGACUCAACUCCAAUGACUGUGAGUGUAUUUAUCUCGCCAUAGAAAAACAGCCAUGACAAAAGCAUCCUCACCAUGAAAAUUAUUUAGCACAUCCUAGACUACAGAUCUAGUUUAACAUAAGAGAUGAAGCUAAUAGGGGAAGCUUCUCAGAGGACUCCCCUUCCCCCUCCCGGUCGCUCCCACGAGCGACGGAGGGGAAACUCUAUCCACCGGUAAUUAUAUGGCCACAAUGGUGUAGGAAAUUACAACAUGAGGUGAUCCAUUUGUAUGUUUCUUCGGUGAUAAAUGUAUGGGUCAAGGCUCUCAGAGGAAUAUCUCACAAUCUUGAUGAGUGUAACAACAUAGAGCCUUAUUGUAUUCGCCCGCAAAGCGAAAAGAGCUACUGUUCCUUCUGCUCUUGCUAGCUUCAUCAUUCGUUUUGGGAAUAUGUAUAUAUUCUUGACUGGGAUUUAAAUUUCUGAUACAUCUCAUUCCGUCCUAGAUCCCGCUAUGUGACCAUCUAUGACAUCCACCUCGCUCGCCGUGGUUGCUCUCCUCAGAUACUUCGCCAUUCUUCCACUAGGAGCUAAACGUGAUCCUGCUACAUGAGGAAGAAGCUAAUUCUUUAUAGGAGGCCAACAAGUGAUCCACGUCACGUGGGGUCCGGUUGCAUCAUUGCUUCACCAAAUAUCACAUGCCAACUAUUGUGAUCGUUCAAUUAUACCGUAAGUGGUGUAGUUCUUGAC
This 796-nucleotide long non-coding RNA is filed under the name Hordeum vulgare. Its description in RNAcentral is "long non-coding RNA (HVUL_LNC021260)". Lineage: Eukaryota; Viridiplantae; Streptophyta; Magnoliopsida; Poales; Poaceae. The record is from RNAcentral.